This 253-nucleotide ribosomal RNA is filed under the name uncultured bacterium. RNAcentral's name for it is "partial 16S ribosomal RNA". It matches the Rfam family "Bacterial small subunit ribosomal RNA", at positions 524 to 776 of the family's 1533-position model. The record is from RNAcentral.
UACAGAGGGGGCGAGCGUUGUUCGGAAUUACUGGGCGUAAAGGGUGUGUAGGCGGUUGUUUAAGUUUGGUGUGAAAUCUCCCGGCUCAACUGGGAGGGUGCGCCGAAUACUGAAUGACUAGAGUGCGGGAGAGGAAAGUGGAAUUCCUGGUGUAGCGGUGAAAUGCGUAGAUAUCAGGAGGAACACCGGUGGUGUAGACGGCUUUCUGGACCGUAACUGACGCUGAGACACGAAAGCGUGGGUAGCAAACAGG